Molecule: long non-coding RNA, 603 nt
Organism: Oncorhynchus tshawytscha (Chinook salmon)
Lineage: Eukaryota; Metazoa; Chordata; Actinopteri; Salmoniformes; Salmonidae
Source: Ensembl
UGGAUUUCCAAAAGUAGAAAUGGUUACAAAUAAUAACAUUUUACUAAAACUCUCCUGUCUCUGUGUCAGUUUAAUGGUGUCAUCAUUUCAGUUUGGGUCUGUUGUGUUGAGGGUUUGGUAGGUGGAGUCUUGGGUUGUUGUAUUGAGGGUUUGGUAGGUGGAGUCUUGGGUUGAUGUGUUGAGGGUUUGGCAGGUGGAGUCUUGGGUUGUUGUGUUGAGGGUUUGGUAGGUGGAGUCUUGGGUUGUUUUGUAGGUGGAGUCUUGGGUUGUUGUAUUGAGGGUUUGGUAGGUGGAGUCUUGGGUUGUUGUGUUGAGGGUUUGGUAGGUGGAGUCUUGGGUUGUUGUGUUGAGGGUUUGGUAGGUGGAGUCUUGGGUUGCUGUGUUGAGGGUUUGGUAGGUGGAGUCUUGGGUUGCUGUGUUGAGGGUUUGGUAGGUGGAGUCUUGGGUUGCUAUGUUGAGGGUUUGGUAGGUGGAGUCUUGGGUUGCUAUGUUGAGGGUUUGGUAGGAGGAGUCUUGGGUUGUUGUGUCUGGAUUGGUGACUGGCCCUGUGGAACACAACAUAUAAAUCAUGUGUGUGUACGUGCAGUGGUGUGGUAGUGGUGU